This 276-nucleotide long non-coding RNA is filed under the name Parus major (Great Tit). RNAcentral describes it as "lncRNA (ENSPMJG00000002617.1)". Lineage: Eukaryota; Metazoa; Chordata; Aves; Passeriformes; Paridae. The record is from RNAcentral.
AGAAAACAACACGCUGUGAUUACAAUUCUGAAUUAAUGGAUUAAAAAGGAAACAUUUCAGCAUUAAUAGGCUGUCCUCAAACAGCAUGAAAAUAGAUGUCCUAUCUCCAAGGCUCUAGUAACUUCUUGGUGACCCUGCUGCAAUGAGGAAGCCACCAUCAGUGCUUUGAGCGUUAAAAGGAAAAGGAAGAAUACUUCAAGCCAAGUGAACAUAAACUGUGACAUGCAAGUCCGAGAUCUUAACUUCAAAGACUUACUGCACAGAAGACAGAUACAG